RNAcentral lists this ribosomal RNA (253 nucleotides) under uncultured bacterium. RNAcentral's name for it is "partial 16S ribosomal RNA". It matches the Rfam family "Bacterial small subunit ribosomal RNA", at positions 524 to 776 of the family's 1533-position model. The record is from RNAcentral.
UACGUAGGGUGCAAGCGUUAAUCGGAAUUACUGGGCGUAAAGCGUGCGCAGGCGGUUAUGUAAGGCAGAUGUGAAAUGCCCGGGCUCAACCUGGGAACUGCAUUUGUGACUGCAUGGCUAGAGUUUGGCAGAGGGGGGUAGAAUUCCACGUGUAGCAGUGAAAUGCGUAGAGAUGUGGAGGAAUACCGAUGGCGAAGGCAGCCCCCUGGGCCAAUACUGACGCUCAUGCACGAAAGCGUGGGGAGCAAACAGG